CCGCACAUGGUCAAUGUGAUGACGUUGUAAUGUAAUUAAAAACAAACAUGAAGACUGAAAAACGCUAGUGUAUAAUGUCAUUCCAUAUUUGACAAUAUAUAGCAAGAGACAUCAAGCAAGCAUUCUUUAACGUGGUCCUAGGACAAGCUCAACCACCAGAAAGCCAUACUUCCUCUUCCCUCAGAGGAAGUAGUAAGCUAUCACCAGACACAUUCCUCAUACAAAAUCCAUUUUAAUAAUAAAAAGCUUCUAAAACUGGGGGAAAGCUGAAGCUGAGCUCAAAUUUUAAAAGCAGCUGGGGCACAGUCGGGGGAACAAAACAAAGCCAAAAUUUCGAAAAGUAUUCAAGCAAGAAAAACCAUCCUUGAAGCAUAAGAACAUACAUAUAUGUAUCCCAUAAUAAUAGUACGUAAUAAUAACAGUUGUGCCACUAGGUCCACAACAAUUAAAAAUAAAAAUGAAAUGACUGUUCAUUUUUAGACGGAGAGGGGUUCAACUUUGCCAUUUAGUCCUGUUUUCUGUUUUGCAACAUGAAUUUUCUUCCCAUUUCGCUUUCCUUCUUCACUACAUACUUAAUCAACUCCCCAUAUCACUUAUUAUAACACCCAAUAAAACAAACAAAAUCUAAUACCUUCAACGUUCAAUGCACAACCUAACAUUUCACCUUCUGCCUUAAUCAUUAUAAAAAUAAUUUUCCAACCAAUUAUGCAUCGCGUUAUUACAGGAAGGGGAAAAGGUACCGAAACAAAUUCCGACUUGAGAAGACACACAAUUUAGAAAAAGUCCAUUCACCAUAAAACAGAAAUGCGACGUAUCAUUAUGAAACGGAAAAAACAUAGCUGCAAACAGGAUAUCACAACAAUAUACAUCCUUAUAUCAAUCCCAAAUUUUAACGGUAUUAAUACGGAACUUUAAAUGUGUAAUCUACUCAUAACCAGAUCGGAAAUAACCUGUAAAGUUAAAAAUUUCAAUCCAUAGAUUAACCACAUAUUCAUGUUCGAAACAUUUAGCAAAAUCCUUCACAACUGUUAAGUCGGAAAUGAGCAGUGACGCACAAAUGAAAUUUAAACCAAAUGAUUACCCAAUAUUGUAUUAACGUGAUACUACUUCAAUGAGCUGGCUUCAAAAACUGUCGACUCCUCCUCACACUUAAAUCCUCUUUGCCUUUAACUCAGCAAUCUUCAUCUUACUACAAUCGCAAACCGCCUCGGAACUGGCAUAUUCAUGAAAGCAUUUGGAUAGAUCUUAGGGAGGUGUGACUCAAAUCCUCCUCGAUGAAUCAAUGACACAAAUUAACACCUAUAACAGGGUCGCGCUUCAACCUCUAUCGCAACAGAACAUCCACGACAUUCCAAACUCACAACCUUGAAGAAUCGAACCCGUAGCUUACCGAACUGAAGUCGAAACCGGAACCAUUGAUUUCCUGUCAAUAAUAAUAUUUUCUUGAUAAAAAAAUAAUCAUGGAGGUAAACGAUCUAUUGCUUGAUGGUUUUAAGAUGGUGGUAGCAAUGCUGAAAUGGCGGGUGUCGAAGAAAGGAGGUGAUAUUGGUUUAUGAGUUGCGUUGGGGAUUAUGGGUUUCACGGUGGGUUUGAGGUGUAUGAGGGGUGUUUUAAUGGUCGACGAAGGUGAUUGGGUGGUGGUUGGAGGGAGAAGAUGGAGAUCGGAAGGAAGUGAGGCGGAAGGUUAUGAGCGGUGGUAAUCGCGGCGAGGUGGUGUUAAAGGCGGAUUUCGCGUGGCGAUGAAGAGUGUCGUUGGUGGUGGUGAAGAGGAAAAGCUGAAAAGCUUUUUCUUCUUUUCUAUUUUCUUUUUUAAGAGAGGUGAGAGAGAAAGGAGGUGGAGUAAUGAUUCAGUCAAGAAACGUGAGUGAGUGUGAGGUACUUUAUUGAGUGGUGUCUGGUGAGAGAGAGUGGCAAGAGAGAGACGUGAGUAAUGGUUUC
RNAcentral lists this long non-coding RNA (1938 nucleotides) under Lathyrus oleraceus (garden pea). RNAcentral's name for it is "Pisum sativum (pea) long non-coding RNA (PSAT_LNC014579)". The record is from RNAcentral. Lineage: Eukaryota; Viridiplantae; Streptophyta; Magnoliopsida; Fabales; Fabaceae.